This is a small nuclear RNA of Xenopus tropicalis (tropical clawed frog), 196 nucleotides long. Its record names the gene U2. It matches the Rfam family "U2 spliceosomal RNA". From Rfam's summary of the family: U2 is a small nuclear RNA (snRNA) component of the spliceosome (involved in pre-mRNA splicing). Complementary binding between U2 snRNA (in an area lying towards the 5' end but 3' to hairpin I) and the branchpoint sequence (BPS) of the intron results the bulging out of an unpaired adenosine, on the BPS, which initiates a nucleophilic attack at the intronic 5' splice site, thus starting the first of two transesterification reactions that mediate splicing. The record is from Ensembl. NCBI's taxonomy places the organism in Eukaryota, Metazoa, Chordata, Amphibia, Anura, Pipidae.
AUCGCUUCUCGGCCUUUUGGCUAAGAUCCAGUGUAGUACCUGUUCUUGGCGUGGGGGGGGGGGUGCAUCCCAGCUAAAGGAUGCAUCGGGUUUUCAACUCCCCAUUGCUGGGCGGAGAGGCACUUGAUCCUCUGGCUCGUGCCAGGGGAGCCCGUCAGAGCCCCCCAGGAUUUGCACCCAUGGGGUGCCAGAUGAC